Molecule: ribosomal RNA, 379 nt
Filed under: uncultured bacterium
Lineage: Bacteria
Description: bacterial SSU rRNA
Rfam family: Bacterial small subunit ribosomal RNA
Source: RNAcentral
UAGUAUCAGCGUGUCAGCCGCCGCGGUAAUACGAAGGGGGCUAGCGUUGCUCGGAAUUACUGGGCGUAAAGGGAGCGUAGGCGGAUAGUUUAGUCAGAGGUGAAAGCCCAGGGCUCAACCUUGGAAUUGCCUUUGAUACUGGCUAUCUUGAGUACGGAAGAGGUAUGUGGAACUCCGAGUGUAGAGGUGAAAUUCGUAGAUAUUCGGAAGAACACCAGUGGCGAAGGCGACAUACUGGUCCGUUACUGACGCUGAGGCUCGAAAGCGUGGGGAGCAAACAGGAUUAGAUACCCUGGUAGUCCACGCUGUAAACGAUGAGUGCUAGUUGUCGGCAGGCAUGCCUGUCGGUGACGCAGCUAACGCAUUAAGCACUCCGCCU